Non-coding RNA from Albula goreensis, 76 nucleotides. Lineage: Eukaryota; Metazoa; Chordata; Actinopteri; Albuliformes; Albulidae. The record is from the annotation of a GenBank genome assembly.
GUGGCCUGUAGUCUAGUGGUUAAGAUACAUGAUUGGGACACCUGAGGUUGAUGGUUCAAGCCCCAAUCUAGCCACA